RNAcentral lists this long non-coding RNA (413 nucleotides) under Olea europaea subsp. europaea. Lineage: Eukaryota; Viridiplantae; Streptophyta; Magnoliopsida; Lamiales; Oleaceae. The record is from RNAcentral.
UCCAAGCAAAACGAAACACAAAACUCAUAAAUUUAAGAAACUAACAUAAACCCACAAACGCAAUGAAUUGAAAACCAUAAAAUUUUCAACAAAAAAACAAAUACAUAAUCAACAAUUCUGUGUUUGACUACAGAACUUUUAAUCAGCGUGUAUAUGGACUCCAAUGGCAAUAAGGAAAAUAGUGAUUAGCCCAAAGAAAAUGAGAGUAUGAACCAAAAUUGAAAGUCCACUUGUAUGCAUGUUUCCAAAUUCAAUCACUCUGUUCCUCCCCGGAAUCUGAAACAGCAGUCCUGGAGUAAGCAGCACGAACAGCACCACCGCUAUAACCACCGGCCCCCAAUCUGCCAUUUUAAUUUUCUCUCUCUAGAACUCUGUUUCUUUCUCUCCAGAUCUCUAUAUGCGCAGCUGGAAUG